RNAcentral lists this ribosomal RNA (411 nucleotides) under uncultured bacterium. Its description in RNAcentral is "bacterial SSU rRNA". It matches the Rfam family "Bacterial small subunit ribosomal RNA", at positions 9 to 414 of the family's 1533-position model. The record is from RNAcentral.
CGCCCUUGAUCCUGGCUCAGAUUGAACGCUGGCGGCAUGCCUAACACAUGCAAGUCGAACGGAAACGAUGGAGAGCUUGCUCUUCAGGCGUCGAGUGGCGGACGGGUGAGUAAUACAUAGGAAUCUGCCCAUGUAGUGGGGGACAACCUGGUGAAAACCAGGCUAAUACCGCAUGAGCCCUUCGGGGGAAAGCAGGGGAUCUUCGGACCUUGCGCUAUUGGAUGAGCCUAUGUCGGAUUAGCUAGUUGGUGGGGUAAUGGCCCACCAAGGCGACGAUCCGUAGCUGGUCUGAGAGGACGAUCAGCCACACUGGGACUGAGACACGGCCCAGACUCCUACGGGAGGCAGCAGUGGGGAAUAUUGGACAAUGGGCGCAAGCCUGAUCCAGCAAUGCCGCGUGUGUGAAGAAGG